UACGAAGGGGGCUAGCGUUGCUCGGAAUCACUGGGCGUAAAGGGCGCGUAGGCGGUCUUUUAAGUCGGGGGUGAAAGCCUGUGGCUCAACCACAGAAUUGCCUUCGAUACUGGAAGACUUGAGACCGGAAGAGGACAGCGGAACUGCGAGUGUAGAGGUGAAAUUCGUAGAUAUUCGCAAGAACACCAGUGGCGAAGGCGGCUGUCUGGUCCGGUUCUGACGCUGAGGCGCGAAAGCGUGGGGAGCAAACAGG
RNAcentral lists this ribosomal RNA (253 nucleotides) under uncultured bacterium. RNAcentral describes it as "partial 16S ribosomal RNA". It matches the Rfam family "Bacterial small subunit ribosomal RNA", at positions 524 to 776 of the family's 1533-position model. The record is from RNAcentral.